Molecule: unclassified non-coding RNA, 369 nt
Filed under: uncultured fungus
Lineage: Eukaryota; Fungi
Description: partial contains 5.8S ribosomal RNA and internal transcribed spacer 2
Rfam family: 5.8S ribosomal RNA (bases 1-133)
Source: RNAcentral
UGGCUCUCGCAUCGAUGAAGAACGCAGCGAAAUGCGAUAAGUAAUGUGAAUUGCAGAAUUCAGUGAAUCAUCGAAUCUUUGAACGCACCUUGCGCUCCUUGGUAUUCCGAGGAGCAUGCCUGUUUGAGUGUCAUGGAAUUCUCAACUCUGUUUGCUUUUGUGAAUAGAGCUUGGACUUGGAGGUUUAUUGCCGGUACCUGUGAUCGGCUCCUCUUGAAUGCAUUAGCUCGAACCUUUUGUGGAUCAGCUUAUCGGUGUGAUAAAAAUGUCUACGCCGUUACUGUGAAGCAUAUUAUUCGGCUUCCAAUCGUCCUUCACGGGACAAUAACUUUGACCUUUGACCUCAAAUCAGGUAGGAUUACCCGCUGA